This 305-nucleotide ribosomal RNA is filed under the name uncultured bacterium. RNAcentral describes it as "bacterial SSU rRNA". It matches the Rfam family "Bacterial small subunit ribosomal RNA", at positions 333 to 637 of the family's 1533-position model. The record is from RNAcentral.
GUACCUACGGGGCGCAGCAGUGAGGAAUAUUGGUCAAUGGGCGAGAGCCUGAACCAGCCAAGUCGCGUGAAGGAUGACGGCCCUACGGGUUGUAAACUUCUUUUGUCAGGGAGCAAUUGAGUCCACGUGUGGGCUUAGCGAGAGUACCUGAAGAAAAAGCAUCGGCUAACUCCGUGCCGGCAGCCGCGGUAAUACGGAGGAUGCGAGCGUUAUCCGGAUUUAUUGGGUUUAAAGGGAGCGUAGGCGGAAUAUCAAGUCAGCGGUAAAAAUUCGUGGCUCAACCCCGUCGUGCCGUUGAAACUGAU